Molecule: long non-coding RNA, 1182 nt
Organism: Carassius gibelio (silver crucian carp)
Lineage: Eukaryota; Metazoa; Chordata; Actinopteri; Cypriniformes; Cyprinidae
Exons: 3
Source: RefSeq, a predicted model, not a curated record
GUAACCCCAGAGUGCAGUCUGGACGAUGGGGCGGGGCGACACUUCGAGGCGGAGCGACACGUGUCGCCCCGCCCAUAUUUGUUUUCCCCGCCUUUGACAUGUUCCUCCGAGCCAGCAGGGGGCAGUUUGCGUUGAAACAAACAGAACGGUGGCAACUACAGCAGCAGAGUAAUAACGCUAUUCCGUUGAUUGCUUGAGGUGAGUAAAAGUGGUUGUGUAAAUAUCUUAUAAUAUGAAAUGCGAUGUUCGAUCAUUUAUUUAUCCAUGGUACGUUCAAUUUGAAUAAUUAUUGUUAAUAAUUGUUAUAAAUUGCUCAUUUUAUUGUUCUUUGUGGAUUGUAACAGUACACUCGUACAUGGCUUUAGUUCAUAGGUUCGAUUUUACAGAGGUAUGGCAUCACAUUUGUCAAGUUAUUUGAACAGACAUGCAUGAUUUUUGUGUGUAUAUUAUUAUUAUUAUUAUUUUUCAGGAUGACAUGAUCAGGAGGUGGUGGUGUUCUGUUCUCCUGGACAGCUUUACUCCGCAAAUAGCUCAACCACUGAGGGGAGGAACUUCACCAUUCACCAUAUCUUCAGGCAGAGUCCAGCAAAGCAGCUUCCCCUGGAAAUCCUCAGGGAAGUUAUUUUGUCGGCGGGUGACUCUGCAUAUUUGACACUUUCUCUGGUUUGCAGAUGGUUUAGGGAUGUGCUCCGAAGUUUUUCGGAAAGCGGCACAGUUUGCCUGGCUAGACAGUAAGAUUUCCCCGUUUAAUGCUCAUUCUCCAAUUGAAUUUUGUAGUAGAAGGCUGUUAAACUUUUUUUGUAUUAUUAUUAUUAUCUUUCAUGUAUUUUGUCUUUACACUAUAAGUUGUGGCCAACUGGAAGAAUUGUCCUCCUGUCUCCUGACCGGAACGAGUUCAGACGGAUGUACAGCAUCAGGGAACACUUGCAGUGCAGAGCCCUUUUCAAGUUUAACCCACCAGGGUACAGGGAAGAGACCGGCGUGGUGAUCUUCUGGGCUUUUGUUUACACAGGAUUUUGUUCCAAGGACUGUUUUUUUUUUUUUUUUUUUGCGGCAUGAAACACAUUUGUGUGUUAAGUUCAUUGAAGGGAAAUAACUGGUUUUGAUUAUUAAUUGAUGUAAUUUAAAGUUAAACUUUGCACUGUAUAAUGUUUUAAUAAAAAAGCUAUGGAAAACACGUGC